RNAcentral lists this ribosomal RNA (425 nucleotides) under uncultured bacterium. Its description in RNAcentral is "bacterial SSU rRNA". It matches the Rfam family "Bacterial small subunit ribosomal RNA", at positions 64 to 507 of the family's 1533-position model. The record is from RNAcentral.
GAACGGAGAUUGCAGCAAUGUAAUCUUAGUGGCGGACGGGUGAGUAACGCGUGGGCAACCUACCUUUCACAGGGGGAUAACACAGGGAAACUUGUGCUAAUACCGUAUGAAGUCAUAGGAGGACAUCCUCUAAUGACCAAAGGAGCAAUCCGGUGAAAGAUGGGCCCGCGUCCGAUUAGCUAGUUGGUGGGGUAACGGCCUACCAAGGCGACGAUCGGUAGCCGAACUGAGAGGUUGAUCGGCCACAUUGGGACUGAGACACGGCCCAGACUCCUACGGGAGGCAGCAGUGGGGAAUAUUGCGCAAUGGGGGAAACCCUGACGCAGCAACGCCGCGUGAAGGAUGAAGGUUUUCGGAUUGUAAACUUCUUUGAUGAGGGACGAAUAAUGACGGUACCUCAAAAACAAGCCACGGCUAACUACGUG